UGGGGAAUAUUGCACAAUGGGCGCAAGCCUGAUGCAGCCAUGCCGCGUGUGUGAAGAAGGCCUUCGGGUUGUAAAGCACUUUCAGCGGGGAGGAAGGCGAUAAGGUUAAUAACCUUGUCGAUUGACGUUACCCGCAGAAGAAGCACCGGCUAACUCCGUGCCAGCAGCCGCGGUAAUACGGAGGGUGCAAGCGUUAAUCGGAAUUACUGGGCGUAAAGCGCACGCAGGCGGUCUGUCAAGUCGGAUGUGAAAUCCCCGGGCUUAACCUGGGAACUGCAUUCGAAAGUGGCAGGCUAGAGUCUUGUAGAGGGGGGUAGAAUUCCAGGUGUAGAGGUGAAAUGCGUAGAGAUCGGGAGGAAUACCGGUGGCGAAGGCGGCCCCCUGGACAAAGACUGACGCUCAGGUGCGAAAGCGUGGGGAGAAAACAGG
Molecule: ribosomal RNA, 429 nt
Filed under: Chloroflexota bacterium
Lineage: Bacteria; Bacillati; Chloroflexota
Description: Chloroflexi bacterium partial 16S ribosomal RNA
Rfam family: Bacterial small subunit ribosomal RNA
Source: RNAcentral